GAUGACACAAGGGUCAUUUGCUGGGAUUAAUGUCCCAGAAACCCGGCCCCUACAACCUUGGUAUCAGAGCCAGGCUGACCAUUGGCUAAUCCUAUCUUAGUCUGGUAGCUAUCCCUAGAUUUACACACUAUCCACAUCCUUCAGUGUCCAUAGUCGCCACUCUUGUCCUAUCUGACAGCAUGUAGGGGCCAGCCGACACUGUUUAGCAGUCGGUGCCCAACCUAUCACCCUAACCGAUAAUCAUCGUAAUUUUGCUUCCAUGGUUUAUAAUCGAUUUUUUCACCCUUAACAAAUCUCGGGUUGAGAUUUUAUUGAGGACCACCGUGACAAAUAAUUUUCCUAACACAUAGUUGAUUCACGCACCUCCGCGACACCUAGCUUACAGCCACACUCACUUCACCACAUGCACUAAGUGCAGAGACCACACACCCUUGGCACCUAAUCAUGCAUCUCAUUCCCCAGAUCACUAACACCGCGCCACAGUUUUUCCACGGAAAAAAAACUUGUGGGUUUUAUUUUUUCAAAACCUACCGCCACACAUGCUAACAACCACUCGCACCUGACACCGAUCGCUAAUCCUCAUAUCCACCACCGCUACGGAGAGCCACCACUCGAGCAACAGCCUCACGACGAUCAUCUACAUUCAUCGCACACAGGAGUAGCGAGAAGCCAACUAACGCCGCCAGCAUUCCAACCAGGAGAAUCGUGACCAGAUCCGGAGCCACAUCCUCCAUUAGCCCUCGUCUCGAGCUCCUGCAACCAGAAGAAGAAGGAGGAAGAAGAGGAAGAGGAAGUGAGGCAAAGUGUGAGGAAGAGAAGAGAGAGAUCACAGUCAUUUUUAUAGCUCGAGCUCGGUGCAUGGUGAGCAAAGUCCACCAGCUCCACUCGUUGCUCGACCGCCGGUGUUUGGAGGUGAAUCCGCAAGCAGUGCCGACAAGGUGCUGGCCCGCGAGGUGAGUGCACGCUGCGCCGGCAACAAGCACGCCGCACACUACCACAAUACGCCCCUAGAUGCCCUGUGCGCUAGGCGCCGUAGACGGAGAAAGUACGUGAAAACUCACGCGAGAGAGAAGAAAGAGGAGAGCCGAAGGAAGAAGAAGGGGCUGACAGUGGGCCCUAGGUCCACCUGUCAGUAGGAGAGAGCGUUGUGCACUCGAGUACGGCAAGAAAAUUUUGGAAUUUGAAAUUAUACUUUUUCCAAUUUGUCGUAGAUCUAAAUAUCAAGUCCUCAAUUGCCCUAGUUGUAGAGUUAAAUCCACAGCACCAGUACCUCACUGUAGCUGCACCAAUUAUCAGUACCCUCACUAUAACUACGGUUAAAUCAUGUGAGCUAAAAUAUGUAGCAUCCCCUCGGAGUGACAGACGUAAUUCUGAUGACCACCCUAUCAAAUCUCGAGGACGAGAUUUUCCUUAAGGGGGAUAGCGUUUGUAACACCCCAAAUUUAACCAUAAAUUUUAUUAAGUAAAAUUUGGCUAGAAAUAAAUUUUAGAAUUAUACUAGGUCAUUUAUUAAUUUGAGAGCCUUCUCUGUUCUCUGCUUUCCAAAAUUCUUCCCUCCAUUUAGGUUCUUCUUUUUAGUAUUGUGGGGUGUGGUUGUUUUCUUAAAUAUUUUCUUUUCUGUAUUAAAUAACAAUAGGAAAUAUUUUCAGGAUAAAAUUUGCCAACAAAUAGCAUUUUAAACGCUUGAACUUUUCUAUUGCACUAAAACUAUCUCAAAUUUAUUUUUAAAAAUUCCCUCAAGCACCCCCUGCCCUAUGACACUACCCAAUGCAAUUUAUUCCACCAAAAUUUUCUUUUACUAAUAUAAAUAUUUCCAAAACUAACUAACACCACUUCUUAGCAUCCUUUGAGUUUACAAAGGGACUCCUUUCUCCCUAAACUUUCUCACCUCACCAAAAUUUCCACAGCAAGACCUUAGUACAUACAUUCAAUUCCUCCAAGAUUAUUUAGGUCCAUAGUUCAAAUAAUUCAAAUUUCAUUUGAAUGAAAUUUGGACCAGAUUUGGAAUCCUUGCUCAAAACCAUAUCUUCCCUACUCCAAAAAUUCUGAAAUUUUUACACCAACUCAGAGUUGCAUCAGAGAGACCCCACAACAAAUUUAAUAUUUAAAAAAAUGCCUAGCUAGCAUUGGCAUUUCGUCGAACAACUUUUGUGCAUACUGUAGCACUGUCAAAAAAGUUCAGUAAAAUUCAGAAACGGACAAUGGGAGAGGGAAGCGGCGUCGUGCACUGCACUCCAUCACCUCUCCUCCUCAUUCACGCCUCCAUCCAUCAUUAAUGGGUCUCCUGGGUCCCUCUGGUCGGCCGCUCGCCAACGACAGCACAGUGGUUGGCCGGUGCACCUGCCACCGCCCUCGGCAGCGGCGGACGAAUGGAUCAGCUUGGCCGACCAGCGCCUUCACUCCCCAAUUGCUCCCAUGCCUACCUCCUCUCCAUGCGUCGUCUCUUCUACGGCGUUCACGCACCGUCUGAACUGCACCGCGCCCGCUUGGCAGUCGCCGGAGACUGACACCGCCACCACACCCUUACAUGAGCCGCGCCGUGGAUAAGGCCGCAAAGCUCAAACCUCGUCGGUCUGGCACUUCGAGAAAGCUCCACCGAGCUCUCUGAUCGGACACCGGCCGCGCCCGCCGCCCAAACCAACCCCACCGACCGGAAUUACUCCGUUGUGAUCCACUCCGCUCCGACCACCCCCACCUGCCUAUAUAAAGGCCACCCCGGGCCUCGUUUCGAAUUCACCCCACCUCCACCCAUGCACAAUCAUGCUUUAGAGGGAUCUAACGGCCCCGGGGAGGUUUUCUUCCACAACUCCGGCCGCCCGAUCCGCCUCUGCUUCUGAGAAGAAGCCGACGUAGUCCGUCCACCCCCACCUCCCAGAAUUCACCAGUAGCCUCCUAAUCGACUCCCUCGUCUGUCUCGCACGUCAAUUUGACGAUUUGAGGUUCCUCCGACGAGAUCCAACAUCACCCGAAGCCGCCGCCCGCGGUAGUCGACAUCGCCGGCACUAUGAUGCUCGCCAGCAAGCAAAUCCACCACCCACCGGCCACCGACGCGGAAGAACACCCUGAGGACGUCUGCACCAUCGCCAUCCCUUGCUACACCGUGAUCGCCGCCAGUAACCUCCCCUUCCUUCUCUAUUUCGGUGCAAAGCACGCCCAAGUUCAAACCUGAUGGGUGGGACCCACCCGUCAGACUUCUCUUCUUUUCUAUUUAGUACGAACGCAUAUUUUCAGAGAAUAUGCUUUCUCUAUAGGUAAAGCGUAUUUCCAGCCGGCCGUUUUCUUUUUAUGUUUUAUUUAGAAAAUGCUUUCUCUAUAGGUAAAGCGUAUUUCCAGCCGGCCGUUUUCUUUUUAUGUUUUAUUUAAAAACAUAUUGACCACGACUUUGACUGACUCUAGUUUUUAAACCAUAACUCUAAAUGACUUGAUUCUUUUUCUGACAUCCCUCAUUUUUCGUCUAGUUUGUUUUAGUAUUUAUUUCAAAAAUUUAUGAAACACUUUUUGGUACUGUUUUGGAAUUAUGUGGUAAUUGCAAUAUUUUUGAAAAUAGGUAAAUGGAGGGAAGAUAAAUUUGGCAAAGUAUUGAAGUGCACCCAAUCUUUCUGCAUGCUCAAGGCAAGCAUCUUGAGCACAUGAUAUGGUGAAUGCAUAGUUGUUUGUUUGCAUGUAGAAUUGAAUUAUGAAUAUAUUGAACUCAUAUGAAGUUUGCAUAGUAUUGGUCAUACAUGCAUGAUCCCCCUUGAUGGUAUUUUAUCCUCCUGACAUACAAGUGAGUAGGGUUAUUUUCAUGUACCAUAUGUGCCUGUGUUGGUCCAGGCUAAUUUGCAGGAAGAAUCAGUCACGAGAAAAGUAACCGUGAGACUGAAACCUCGUUGUGACGAGAAUGAUCAGUGAGGGUAUGUUGGGACAUACCGGGUGGUGACCCUGUUGGGUACUGCCAAGGAGUUAUAUUGUGCUAACCGCAGCAGGAAAACUUAAACCUCCUGAGUUGACCAUAGAUCGAGUCUUGUUCCAGUAACCCCCAUACUUGUUUGGUGCUACCACUUGUCCCUGCCACAGGCAGGGUAUGGUUCAGUAAGUUGUUAACCCCUUUCCGUGCACACACUGCAUAGAGAGGCCAUGGUGAAAGAUACCAUGGGCCUCUAGUAGGCAUGUCAUCUGGUCAGGCGGCAUGGGUGUAUACGGUUGGGCCGAGAGGGGGGGCACCCCUUGGAAUCCGCGCGUUAUGGAAUAGUGAUCCCAUGCUAUUCGAGACGAUGGUCUCCCCGUCUUAAGAGUUUUUCUUGAAAGAUGCUUUGGGUGAUUCCUGGCAUCCGAAGAGUUAAUCUGGUGUGUGUUGGUCAGGUGUGUUUUCAACCCAAAGGCCAUAACGGGAAUUAGUCAACGUCUCAGUGUUGGCUAAAGAAAUCCUAUACACGUGGGUAAAGAGUGCACCCUCUACAGAGUUAUAUCUAUUCGAAUAGCCAUGUCCAUGGUUAAGGACUACAGUCUGGGUUGGUCAAGUGUCGGUCUUAGUGUCAGUCUCCGGAGGAAAUAAUUAAAUUGAUCAUGGUCCAUUUUGCAGGAUAAUUAUUGUCACUUCUGGUGUCAUUACAAAUAUUAUUGUUGACAUGAAUAUUGUUGAGGUUUAACCUUUUCCUCUUAUGUGAAAUCUUGAGUAUCUCUUGGGGUGGCUAGACUACCUGAAAUACUCAAGUUUAUUUCUAUUUCUGAGUAUCACUUGAGAUGACUAGUCUACAUGGAUACUCGUGUUAUUAAUGUUUUAUAAGCCCUUUAUGAGGCGUCGCUCAGACACCCGACUGUGGCAUGUAUUUUUAAGACCUCUCGAAGCGUCGCUUUUAGACACAUGUUUGGCAUUUCUUUUGGAAUUUCUCGGGCGGUCCAACGCCCGACGUUCCGUUUCAUUUCUUUGAUUUACUAAUAACAUGAUUUAUUUAUGCUUCCGCACCGUAUGAGUAUUUAUCGUGCCAUGUUUUGAUUUUCAAUCAGCACAUGCAUAUAAUUUACUUUCACAUGAACAUAUACAUUCGGUAUAUCUUUUGUUCAUCAUGUUUGCGAGUACAUUCAAAGGUACUCACUGGCUUGUCCCUGGCUAUUAUCUUGGCUAGAUCAUGGUUCAGAGAGGAGCACUACGACGACACCCCGCAACCUAGGAUUCGAGGAUAGCAGCCACGCGAGAUAGGAAUUAUCUGGCUCAGUUGUUCCCGUGGGAAUGGAGUCCCAUCAACGUUGGAGAUUCACGAGUCACUUCCGUCAUCCACCACUAGAGAUCCUUGCUAUAUGCAUUGGACCUUUAUGGUCUUGUACUCAAUCUGCUGUAAUUGCUUGGAAUGUUGUAUCUAGGAAGUGUCCACUAGCAAACAGUAAUCCUGGGGCUAGUGAUGACACAAAGGUCAUUUGCUGGGAUUAAUAUCCCGAAAACCCGACCCCUACAAGAAGCGUUUACGGAGGCAGCCCAUUAAGGCAUACACACACCAAAACUCCAAACACGCGUAACGUUUUGGGUUUACACUGUAAACAGCUUACGGGGAUUUUUUUUUUUCCGAAACAAACACCUCCUAGCCUCAAUGUCUUCGGGACAUCAAUGUUAAAUCCUUCAUCAAGGAGUUGGAUGAUUUGUUCCGAAAGUCAGUACAAUGCGCUGAGUUAAAAAUCCGAUCGUUACUCACAUGUCGUGUUGGCUUUGAAUCUGUAAAAUGAAUACUCACGCCACAUCACCCCUACAUUUCUUCGGUUUCGCAACAGCACCCCUUUCUGACUAGACUUGACACCAAGAGAAAUGUAUGUAUUGUCAACUCAGGGACUAAACUGGAAACGAGUCCUGUUUUUUUUUUCUACUGCAAAGCAAAUGAGACGGAUUUCAUACGGACGUCACAAAAAGACAUCCGAGCUUGCAGGCUACGG
RNAcentral lists this long non-coding RNA (5901 nucleotides) under Triticum aestivum (bread wheat). Its description in RNAcentral is "long non-coding RNA (TAES_LNC007156)". The record is from RNAcentral. Lineage: Eukaryota; Viridiplantae; Streptophyta; Magnoliopsida; Poales; Poaceae.